CCUACGGGUGGCAGCAGUGGGGAAUAUUGGGCAAUGGGCGAAAGCCUGACCCAGCAACGUCGCGUGAAGGAAGACGGCCCUAGGGUUGUAAACUUCCUUUUACAGGGAAGAGCAGAAGACGGUACCUGUCGAAUAAGCCACGGCUAAAUACGUGCCAGCAGCCGCGGUAAUACGUAGGUGGCAAGCGUUGUCCGGAUUUACUGGGUGUAAAGGGCGUGUAGACGGGCUGACGAGUCAGAUGUGAAAUGCGGGGGCUCAACCCCCGAACUGCAUUUGAAACUGUUGGUCUUGAGUAUAGGAGAGGUAGGCGGAAUUCGUAGUGUAGCGGUGAAAUGCGUAGAUAUUAGGAAGAACACCGGUGGCGAAGGCGGCCUGCUGGACGACAACUGACGGUGAGGCGCGAAAGCGUGGGGAGCAAACAGGAUUAGAUACCCCGGUAGUC
This 442-nucleotide ribosomal RNA is filed under the name uncultured bacterium. RNAcentral's name for it is "partial 16S ribosomal RNA". It matches the Rfam family "Bacterial small subunit ribosomal RNA", at positions 338 to 795 of the family's 1533-position model. The record is from RNAcentral.